GCUGGCAUCUUGCUCUCUGCAACUCUCACAUGGUCACCCACUGAAGAUAAGCAGGGCAGCGCCUGGUCAGUACCUGGAUGGGAGACCACAUGGGAAAUCUAGGUUGCUGCCGGAA
Molecule: non-coding RNA, 115 nt
Organism: Danio rerio (zebrafish)
Lineage: Eukaryota; Metazoa; Chordata; Actinopteri; Cypriniformes; Danionidae
Source: Rfam